This 770-nucleotide ribosomal RNA is filed under the name uncultured sediment bacterium. Its description in RNAcentral is "bacterial SSU rRNA". It matches the Rfam family "Bacterial small subunit ribosomal RNA", at positions 8 to 771 of the family's 1533-position model. The record is from RNAcentral.
AGAGUUUGAUCCUGGCUCAGGAUGAACGCUAGCGGCAGGCUUAACACAUGCAAGUCGAGGGGUAACGAUUUCGAGUAAUCGAGAGGCGACGACCGGCGCACGGGUGAGUAACGCGUAUGCAACCUACCUCUAACUGGAGCAUAGGUCCCGGAAACGGGAAUUAAUACUCCAUAAUAUUCUGAAUUCGCAUGUUUUCAGGAUUAAAGUUCCGGCGGUUAGAGAUGGGCAUGCGUGACAUUAGUUUGUUGGUGAGGUAACGGCUCACCAAGACUACGAUGUCUAGGGGGUCUGAGAGGAUGGUCCCCCACACUGGUACUGAGACACGGACCAGACUCCUACGGGAGGCAGCAGUGAGGAAUAUUGGGCAAUGGACGCAAGUCUGACCCAGCCAUGCCGCGUGCAGGAUGACUGCCCUAUGGGUUGUAAACUGCUUUUAUUUGGGAAGAAACCCCCGGACGUGUCCGGGGCUGACGGUACCAAAAGAAUAAGCAUCGGCUAACUCCGUGCCAGCAGCCGCGGUAAUACGGAGGAUGCCAGCGUUAUCCGGAUUUAUUGGGUUUAAAGGGUGCGCAGGCGGGAAAUUAAGUCAGUGGUGAAAUCCUACAGCUUAACUGUAGAACUGCCAUUGAUACUGAUUUUCUUGAGUGCAGUUGAGGUAGGCGGAAUGUGUAAUGUAGCGGUGAAAUGCUUAGAUAUUACACAGAACACCGAUUGCGUAGGCAGCUUACUAAACUGUUACUGACGCUCAGGCACGAAAGCGUGGGGAGCAA